This 692-nucleotide long non-coding RNA is filed under the name Sorghum bicolor (sorghum). Its description in RNAcentral is "long non-coding RNA (SBIC_LNC015925)". The record is from RNAcentral. Lineage: Eukaryota; Viridiplantae; Streptophyta; Magnoliopsida; Poales; Poaceae.
UAUAUAUAUAUAUAUAUAUAUAUAUAUAUAUAUAUAUAUAUAUAUAUGCGAGGAAAUAAAAAGGGGCAAGUGCGCGGAGCCUCAACAAAGAAAGAAAAAGAGUGAGAUGAGAGGUAAAAAUGGACAAGUGUCCGGAGUAGAAUUAGGGGUACAAAGAUGCCCACUUGAGCGGAAAAAAAUGGACAAGUGUCCGACAGUAGAAUUAGGGGUAUCUACUACCCACCUGAAAAAAAAGAGAAAAGAAAAAGAUAGCCCAUGUUCUCCCAAAGCAAAGACAAAAAAGGAGGAGAGAUAGCAAUAUGAGGAGCAAUGAGAACUAAGUUUUAUUAUCACUUAUACAUUUUUACCAUCACUAUCAUUUACUCCACCACACAUGCACAUCUUGAUUUAAUUAUAUGCUGAGUUCCUUUGGAUCCAUGGCUCGAUUAGACAACAUAUGUAUGAGCUAUUUUUCACUCCUAUGAGCUCCACUUAAAUAUUCCAUUAGCUAUAGGUAAGUGAAAUUUUGGUAAGGAUCCACAAAUACUACAUAUAGAGAGACUUGAGAGAAUCAUUGCUUGGAACUCUGAAUUUAUUUUUUUGAAAACUUAUGAAAAACUCUGGAACAAAGGUGAAGUAUAGACAGGAGGAAUAGUGCUUGACUUAAUUAUUUUGUCUUUCAAUUACUUAAGACUUAAGUGCAGGUACUAAGC